Molecule: ribosomal RNA, 454 nt
Filed under: Notonecta chinensis
Lineage: Eukaryota; Metazoa; Arthropoda; Insecta; Hemiptera; Notonectidae
Description: partial 16S ribosomal RNA
Rfam family: Bacterial large subunit ribosomal RNA
Source: RNAcentral
UGCCCAUGUUUUUCAGUGGCCGCGGUAUUUUAACCGUGCAAAGGUAGCAUAAUCACUUGUCUUUUAAUUGGAGGCUAGAAUGAACGGUUGGACGAGAUAUAUACUUUCUUUAUUUUAAAAAAAUGAAUUUAAUUUUUGAGUUAAAAAGCUCAAAUUUUAUUAUAGGACGAGAAGACCCUAUAGAACUUUAUUUUUAUGUAUAAGUUUUUAACUUUGAUAAUUAUUUAAUUAUUUAUAUUUAGAAAUUUUGUUGGGGUGACAGGAAAAUAUUUUUAACUUUUCUUUUUUUAUUCAUAAAUUAAUGUAUUUUUGAUCCAAUAUUUUUGAUUAUAAGAUUAAGUUACCUUAGGGAUAACAGCGUAAUUCUUUUGGAGAGUUCUUAUCGAUAAAGGAGUUUGCGACCUCGAUGUUGAAUUAAGAUUAGUAAUGGGUGCAGAAUUUCAUUUACUAGGUC